GGAAGCUGUGGAAAGGAAACAAGACUGAGAGGGAAGGGCCCAACUGGGAGUGGCAGUUGGGUCUUGUGACUAGCACUUCCUUCCUGCCGGGAGUGGCAGUUGGGUCUUGUGACUAGCACUUCCUUCCUGCCGGGAGUGGCAGUUGGGUCUUGUGACUAGCACUUCCUUCCUGCAGGCUUCCUGGUGUUGGAGGAGAGAGGAGCUUGUUCAGCCCAGUCUGGAGUGGCAUGCUCUUCUUGGUUCAGCCCAAAGACACAGGCUUCUGAAGGAAUAAUAAAGUGGAGGAAUUCCAUGGAGACUGGACCGACCUUCAGGAAGUGA
RNAcentral lists this long non-coding RNA (321 nucleotides) under Monodelphis domestica (gray short-tailed opossum). RNAcentral describes it as "lncRNA (ENSMODG00000037062.1)". The record is from RNAcentral. Lineage: Eukaryota; Metazoa; Chordata; Mammalia; Didelphimorphia; Didelphidae.